RNAcentral lists this transfer RNA (76 nucleotides) under Clostridiaceae bacterium. RNAcentral's name for it is "tRNA-Ala". It matches the Rfam family "tRNA". Rfam says of the family: Transfer RNA (tRNA) molecules are approximately 80 nucleotides in length. Lineage: Bacteria; Bacillati; Bacillota; Clostridia; Eubacteriales; Clostridiaceae. The record is from RNAcentral. RNAcentral also lists the same sequence under 3 other names.
GGGGAUAUGGCUCAGUUGGGAGAGCGCUGCCUUCGCAAGGCAGAGGCCACGGGUUCGAAUCCCGUUAUCUCCACCA